CACCAACUUCAGUUGGUUUUUAUAGCCGUGGCAAAGAAAAAUGAACCAUGUUUGUAAUUCUUUGACUAUGUUUCUUACUUGCUCAAUAAUGUUGGAGUUUCUUGUAAGCGUCAUGACAUGCUUCGAGAUGUUAGAGCUCAUAAGGUUUUGGAAGCACUUGAAAUGAGUGAGAUUGAAAGUGGAAGUGGGCUAAAUCAAGAGACGGGACCAGCUAGACUCGGCGAUACUCGUUGGGGUGCUCAUUUUAAAACCAUUACGCACAUUGUUAGCAUGUAUUCCACAAUCCUUGAAGUACUUGAUGCUAUUGGAAAAGAUCCUUCACAAAAAGGUGAGUGGACAAGAAUACGUGGAGUUGCUCAAGCCUUUUAAUCAUUUGACUUUGUUUUCAAUCUUCACUUGAUGCUUGUUACUCUUGGCUAUACAAAUGAGUUGUCCCAAUCUUUGCAAAAGAGAGAUCAAGAUAUUGUUAGUGCAAUGAGACUUGUUAGUUUGGCAAAGAGUAGAAUGCAACACAUGAGGUCUCAUGGUUGGGAAGAAUUUCUUGCAAAGCUAACCUUAUUUUGCAACAAACAUGACAUUCAAGUUCCUUUGUAGGAGGAUACUUAUGAGCCUCAUGGAAGAUCACGUCGGUAUUAUGAAUUACAAACAAAUGAUGAUCGUUAUAGAAAAGAAGUAUAUCUUGGUGUUAUUGAUCAAACCAUUCAAGAGCUUGACAACCGGUUUGAUGAGGUUAAUACUGGGUUGCUUAUUUGCAUGUUGGCUCUGAAUCCCCUCAAUUCAUUUGCUUCUUAUGAUGCACUCAAGGUAAUGAGAUUUGCUGGAUUCUAUCCCAUGGACAUAUGA
RNAcentral lists this ribosomal RNA (843 nucleotides) under Triticum aestivum (bread wheat). RNAcentral describes it as "partial small subunit ribosomal RNA". The record is from RNAcentral. Lineage: Eukaryota; Viridiplantae; Streptophyta; Magnoliopsida; Poales; Poaceae.